CGGCGUGCCUAACACAUGCAAGUCAACUUGACUGAAGGAGCAAUCUGACAGUAGAGUGGCGCAAGGGUGCGUAACGCGUAAGUAACUUGCCCAAGGUAAGGAAUAACGUCGAGAAAUCGGCGCUAAUACCUCAUAAUGCAGCGGAUCCGCAUGGAUAUGUUGUUAAAGGUUUACCGCCUUGGGAUAGGCUUGCGUCUGAUUAGCUAGUUGGUGUGGUAACGGCACACCAAGGCUACGAUCAGUAACUGGUCUGAGAGGAUGAUCAGUCACACUGGAACUGAGACACGGUCCAGACUCCUACGGGAGGCAGCAGUGAGGAAUAUUGGGCAAUGCUCGAAAGAGUGACCCAGCAACGCCGCGUGGAGGAUGAAGGUAUUCUAUAUCGUAAACUCCUGUGAGAGCAGACGAAAGACAGAUUAUUAAUCUGGAUGACUGUAUGCUCAGAGGAAGCCCCGGCUAACUACGUG
RNAcentral lists this ribosomal RNA (467 nucleotides) under uncultured bacterium. RNAcentral describes it as "bacterial SSU rRNA". It matches the Rfam family "Bacterial small subunit ribosomal RNA", at positions 40 to 507 of the family's 1533-position model. The record is from RNAcentral.